GCGGGCACCAACCUAUCGAAGUGGCUGCGUGGGUCCUCGCUGACGCCCAAGGGCCAAUCAGAGGAAGGCGUUGGUGGUCCCACUCUUUGCCAACCGGAUCCUUGCUAAGCGCACCUUCUACAGAGAGGAGAGAACGAGUCAGAUGCGGCUGAAGUUAGAAACAAUGACUGGCACAGGCAGAGCGAUGACCAGGACCCCACUGAGUGAGCAGAUGGAUCCGAAAAUCUUGCCAGCAAUGGUGCUGGGCACCAUGUCUCCGUAUCUGGGGCCAGAGGAGGACCAAUCGGACGCCCUCCACAAAAGACUGGAUCCUCAACU
Long non-coding RNA from Eptesicus fuscus (big brown bat), 318 nucleotides. RefSeq lists it as uncharacterized. Lineage: Eukaryota; Metazoa; Chordata; Mammalia; Chiroptera; Vespertilionidae. The record is from RefSeq and is a predicted model, not a curated record. The transcript has 4 exons.